Molecule: ribosomal RNA, 1565 nt
Filed under: Tsukubamonas globosa
Lineage: Eukaryota; Tsukubea; Tsukubamonadida; Tsukubamonadidae
Description: SSU rRNA
Rfam family: Bacterial small subunit ribosomal RNA
Source: RNAcentral
CAAAGUAUGAGUUUGAUCCUGGCUCCGAAUGAACACUAGCGAUCUGCUUAACACAUGCAAGUCGAAUGUAUCUUAGAUGCAUGGCGAACGGGUGCGUAAUACAUAAGAAUCUGCCCUACAAUUCGAAAUAAUACAUAAUGUCGAAUAAUUGGUAACAUUUAUCUGUUAUUAAAAAAAUAAAUUUGUUGUAGGAUGAGCUUAUGUAGGAUUAUGGUAGUUGGUGAGGUAAAAGCUCACCAAGCCGACGAUCCUUAGCUGGUUUUAGCGAACGACCAGCCACACUGGGACUGAGACACGGCCCAGACUCCGUUUGGAGGCAGCAGUGGGGAAUUUUGGACAAUGGGCGAAAGCCUGAUCCAGCAAGAUCGCGUGAGGGAUGACAGCAUCAGUUGUAAACCUCUUUCGUUGGAGAAGAUAAUGACGGUAUCCAAAGAAGAAGUCCCGGCUAACUCCGUGCCAGCAGCCGCGGUAAGACGGGGGGGGCUAGUGUUAUUCAUCAUGACUGGGCGUAAAGGGCAUGUAGGCGGUACAAGAAGGUGAUUUCAAAAGUCUUCGGCGUAACCAAAGAAACGUUAUCACAACCAUUGUACUUGAGUUUUGUAAAGGAAAGUAGAAUUUCUACAGUUGCGAUAAAAUGCUUAGAGUAGAAGGAAUGUCAAUGGCGAAGGCAACUUUCUAGACAUUAACUGACGCUGAGAUGCGAAAGCAUGGGGAGCAAACAGGAUUAGAGACCCUGGUAGUCCAUGCUGUCAACGAUGAGUGUUAUUGUGUUCUCGUCUUUUUAAGAUAUGUAUGAAUUACAAACAGCUAACGCGUAAAACACUCCGCCUGAGAAGUACAAUUGCAAGGUUGAAACUCAAAGGAUUUGACGGGGGUCCGUAACAAGCGGUGGAGCAUGUGGUUUAAUGCGAUACAACGCGCGAAACCUUACCAGUUCUUGAAAUUUUUAUGAACAAUUCUUUCUAACCGAGGAAUUUUAUUCUGUAAAGAGUAAUAAAAAACAGGUGUUGCAUGGCUGUCGUCAGCUCGUGUCGUGAGAUGUGGGGUUAACUCCUCGAAACGAGCGCAACCCUUAUCUUUAGUUGCUAUCGUAAUGGUUAUUACAAUAAUUUAUUACUGCACUCUGAAGAAACUGCCUACCUACGUAGGAGGAAGGUAGGGAUGACGUCAAGUCCUCACGGCCCUUAUGAACUGGGCUACACAUGUGCUACAAUGAUAAGUUACAAUGGGCAGUAAUACCGUGAGGUAAUACUAAUCUCUAAAUCUUAUCUCAGUUCGGAUUGUACUCUGCAACUCGAGUACAUGAAGAUGGAAUCGCUAGUAAUCGCGAAUCAGCACGUCGCGGUGAACUCGUUCUCGGACCUUGUACACACCGCCCGUCACGCUAUGGGAGUCGGUUGUAUCCUAAAAGAGCACAGGUACUGCUGUCAUUACACAUGUUAUUUUCUUUUUUGCAAAUAUUGUGUUUUUGUAGUAUUUAGGGUAUCUUGACGAUAUGAUCGGUGACUGGAGCGAAGUCGUAACAAGGUAGUCGUAGGGGAACCUGUGGCUGGAGAAAAACUUUU